RNAcentral lists this non-coding RNA (27 nucleotides) under Mus musculus (house mouse). Lineage: Eukaryota; Metazoa; Chordata; Mammalia; Rodentia; Muridae. The record is from RNAcentral.
UGCAGACGUUCAGGAGCGCCUGCUGCC